RNAcentral lists this ribosomal RNA (730 nucleotides) under uncultured Serratia sp. RNAcentral's name for it is "bacterial SSU rRNA". It matches the Rfam family "Bacterial small subunit ribosomal RNA", at positions 768 to 1498 of the family's 1533-position model. Lineage: Bacteria; Pseudomonadati; Pseudomonadota; Gammaproteobacteria; Enterobacterales; Yersiniaceae. The record is from RNAcentral.
GCGAACGGGAUUAGAUACCCUGGUAGUCCACGCUGUAAACGAUGUCGAUUUGGAGGUUGUGCCCUUGAGGCGUGGCUUCCGGAGCUAACGCGUUAAAUCGACCGCCUGGGGAGUACGGCCGCAAGGUUAAAACUCAAAUGAAUUGACGGGGGCCCGCACAAGCGGUGGAGCAUGUGGUUUAAUUCGAUGCAACGCGAAGAACCUUACCUACUCUUGACAUCCAGAGAACUUAGCGGAGAUGCUUUGGUGCCUUCGGGAACUCUGAGACAGGUGCUGCAUGGCUGUCGUCAGCUCGUGUUGUGAAAUGUUGGGUUAAGUCCCGCAACGAGCGCAACCCUUAUCCUUUGUUGCCAGCGGUUCGGCCGGGAACUCAAAGGAGACUGCCAGUGAUAAACUGGAGGAAGGUGGGGAUGACGUCAAGUCAUCAUGGCCCUUACGAGUAGGGCUACACACGUGCUACAAUGGCAUAUACAAAGAGAAGCGACCUCGCGAGAGCAAGCGGACCUCAUAAAGUAUGUCGUAGUCCGGAUUGGAGUCUGCAACUCGACUCCAUGAAGUCGGAAUCGCUAGUAAUCGUAGAUCAGAAUGCUACGGUGAAUACGUUCCCGGGCCUUGUACACACCGCCCGUCACACCAUGGGAGUGGGUUGCAAAAGAAGUAGGUAGCUUAACCUUCGGGAGGGCGCUUACCACUUUGUGAUUCAUGACUGGGGUGAAGUCGUAACAAGGUA